AUUGAACGCUGGCGGCAGGCCUAACACAUGCAAGUCGAACGAGUGGCGGACGGGUGAGUAAUGUCUGGGAAACUGCCUGAUGGAGGGGGAUAACUACUGGAAACGGUAGCUAAUACCGCAUACUAUCAGAUGUGCCCAGAUGGGAUUAGCUGGUUGGUGGGGUAACGGCUCACCAAGGCGACGAUCCCUAGCUGGUCUGAGAGUAUGACCAGCCACACUGGAACUGGGCCACGGCCCAGACCCCUACGGGAGGCAGCAUUGGGGAAUAUUGGACAAUGGGCGAAAGCCUGAUGCAGCCAUGCCGCUGGUAUGAAGAAGGCCUUCGGGUUGUAAAGUACGUUAAGCGGGGAGGCGUUACCCGCAGAAGAAGCACCGGCUAACUCCGUGCCAGCAGCCGCGGUAAUAC
Molecule: ribosomal RNA, 406 nt
Filed under: uncultured bacterium
Lineage: Bacteria
Description: partial 16S ribosomal RNA
Rfam family: Bacterial small subunit ribosomal RNA
Source: RNAcentral